CUCAGUUCAGAUCGUAGGCUGCAACUCGCCUACGUGAAGGAGGAAUCGCUAGUAAUCGCAGGUCAGCAUACUGCGGUGAAUACGUUCCCGGGCCUUGUACACACCGCCCGUCACACCAUGGAAGUUGGCCACGCCCGAAGCCGUUACUCCAACCCUUGUGGAGGAGGACGUCGAAGGUGGGGCUGAUGACUGGGGUGAAGUCGUAACAAGGUAUCCGUACCGGAAGGUGCGGAUGGAUCACCUCCUAA
RNAcentral lists this ribosomal RNA (248 nucleotides) under uncultured cyanobacterium. Its description in RNAcentral is "partial 16S ribosomal RNA". It matches the Rfam family "Bacterial small subunit ribosomal RNA", at positions 1287 to 1533 of the family's 1533-position model. Lineage: Bacteria; Bacillati; Cyanobacteriota. The record is from RNAcentral.